This 456-nucleotide ribosomal RNA is filed under the name Actinomyces sp. oral taxon 180. RNAcentral describes it as "bacterial SSU rRNA". It matches the Rfam family "Bacterial small subunit ribosomal RNA", at positions 28 to 481 of the family's 1533-position model. The record is from RNAcentral. Lineage: Bacteria; Bacillati; Actinomycetota; Actinomycetes; Actinomycetales; Actinomycetaceae.
GACGAACGCGGCGGCGUGCUUAACACAUGCAAGUCGAACGCUGAAGCCUGGCUUUUGUUGGGUGGAUGAGUGGCGAACGGGUGAGUAACACGUGAGUAACCUGCCCCCUUCUUUGGGAUAACGCCCGGAAACGGGUGCUAAUACUGGAUAUUCACUGGUCUUCGCAUGGGGGUUGGUGGAAAGGGUUUUCUGGUGGGGGAUGGGCUCGCGGCCUAUCAGCUUGUUGGUGGGGUGAUGGCCUACCAAGGCUUUGACGGGUAGCCGGCCUGAGAGGGUGACCGGUCACAUUGGGACUGAGAUACGGCCCAGACUCCUACGGGAGGCAGCAGUGGGGAAUAUUGCACAAUGGGCGCAAGCCUGAUGCAGCGACGCCGCGUGAGGGAUGGAGGCCUUCGGGUUGUGAACCUCUUUCGCUCAUGGUCAAGCCGCAACUGUGGGUUGUGGUGAGGGUAGUGG